RNAcentral lists this ribosomal RNA (536 nucleotides) under uncultured bacterium. RNAcentral's name for it is "bacterial SSU rRNA". It matches the Rfam family "Bacterial small subunit ribosomal RNA", at positions 774 to 1308 of the family's 1533-position model. The record is from RNAcentral.
AGUAAAUAGAUACCCCGGUAGUCCACGCCGUAAACGAUGUCGACUUGGAGGUUGUGCCCUUGAGGCGUGGCUUCCGGAGCUAAACGCGUUAAAGUCGACCGCCUGGGGAGUACGGCCGCAAGGUUAAAACUCAAAUGAAUUGACGGGGGCCCGCACAAGCGGUGGAGCAUGUGGUUUAAUUCGAUGCAACGCGAAGAACCUUACCUACUCUUGACAUCCAGAGAACUUUCCAGAGAUGGAUUGGUGCCUUCGGGAACUCUGAGACAGGUGCUGCAUGGCUGUCGUCAGCUCGUGUUGUGAAAUGUUGGGUUAAGUCCCGCAACGAGCGCAACCCUUAUCUUUUGUUGCCAGCGGUUAGGCCGGGAACUCAAAGGAGACUGCCAGUGAUAAACUGGAGGAAGGUGGGGAUGACGUCAAGUCAUCAUGGCCUUACGAGUAGGGCUACACACGUGCUACAAUGGCGCAUACAAAGAGAAGCGACCUCGCGAGAGCAAGCGGACCUCAUAAAGUGCGUCGUAGUCCGGAUUGGAGUCUGC